CCUACGUGUGGCAGCAGUGAGGAAUAUUGGUCAAUGGGCGCUAGCCUGAACCAGCCAAGUAGCGUGAAGGAUGACUGCCCUAUGGGUUGUAAACUUCUUUUAUAUGGGAAUAAAGUGCAGUAUGUAUACUGCUUUGCAUGUACCUUAUGAAUAAGGAUCGGCUAACUCCGUGCCAGCAGCCGCGGUAAUACGGAGGAUGCGAGCGUUAUCCGGAUUUAUUGGGUUUAAAGGGUGCGUAGGCGGUCCGUUAAGUCAGCGGUAAAAUUGCGGGGCUCAACCCCGUCGAGCCGUUGAAACUGGCAGACUUGAGUUGGCGAGAAGUACGCGGAAUGCGCGGUGUAGCGGUGAAAUGCAUAGAUAUCGCGCAGAACUCCGAUUGCGAAGGCAGCGUACCGGCGCCAGACUGACGCUGAGGCACGAAAGCGUGGGGAUCGAACAGGAUUAGAUACCCUGGUAGUC
Molecule: ribosomal RNA, 459 nt
Filed under: uncultured bacterium
Lineage: Bacteria
Description: partial 16S ribosomal RNA
Rfam family: Bacterial small subunit ribosomal RNA
Source: RNAcentral